GCAAUCGGCUGUUAACCGAUAGGUUCUUGGUUCGAGUCCAAGCCGGGGAGCCA
This 53-nucleotide transfer RNA is filed under the name Microbacterium ginsengisoli. Its description in RNAcentral is "tRNA-Ser". It matches the Rfam family "tRNA", at positions 23 to 71 of the family's 71-position model. From Rfam's summary of the family: Transfer RNA (tRNA) molecules are approximately 80 nucleotides in length. Their secondary structure includes four short double-helical elements and three loops (D, anti-codon, and T loops). Lineage: Bacteria; Bacillati; Actinomycetota; Actinomycetes; Micrococcales; Microbacteriaceae. The record is from RNAcentral.